RNAcentral lists this long non-coding RNA (235 nucleotides) under Mytilus galloprovincialis (Mediterranean mussel). The record is from RNAcentral. Lineage: Eukaryota; Metazoa; Mollusca; Bivalvia; Mytilida; Mytilidae.
GCCCUGGGAGACAGUUUUACAUGUAAAUUACUACUCCUUGAUACCGGUAUAAUAUUAGUCCUAUAUUACUCUUCGUAAAAUCGCACUCAAUUGAUAUACUAGUAUUCGACAUUCCAAAAUCAGUUAUCUUAAUAUUAUCAAAAGUACAAGGAUUAUAAUUUAGUACGGCAGACGCGCGUUUCGUCUACACAAGACUUAAACUAACAUUUCCCUGUUAACCUUUAUCUGGCAAGCA